This 497-nucleotide ribosomal RNA is filed under the name uncultured bacterium. Its description in RNAcentral is "partial 16S ribosomal RNA". It matches the Rfam family "Bacterial small subunit ribosomal RNA", at positions 28 to 507 of the family's 1533-position model. The record is from RNAcentral.
GAUGAACGCUGGCGGCGUGCCUAAUACAUGCAAGUCGAGCGAACGGACGAGAAGCUUGCUUCUCUGAUGUUAGCGGCGGACGGGUGAGUAACACGUGGAUAACCUACCUAUAAGACUGGGAUGACUUCGGGAAACCGGAGCUAAUACCGGAUAAUAUUUUGAACCGCAUGGUUCAAAAGUGAAAGACGGUCUUGCUGUCACUUAUAGAUGGAUCCGCGCUGCAUUAGCUAGUUGGUAAGGUAACGGCUUACCAAGGCAACGAUGCGUAGCCGACCUGAGAGGGUGAUCGGCCACACUGGAACUGAGACACGGUCCAGACUCCUACGGGAGGCAGCAGUAGGGAAUCUUCCGCAAUGGGCGAAAGCCUGACGGAGCAACGCCGCGUGAGUGAUGAAGGUCUUCGGAUCGUAAAACUCUGUUAUUAGGGAAGAACAUAUGUGUAAGUAACUGUGCACAUCUUGACGGUACCUAAUCAGAAAGCCACGGCUAACUACGUG